RNAcentral lists this unclassified non-coding RNA (404 nucleotides) under Hevea brasiliensis (rubber tree). Lineage: Eukaryota; Viridiplantae; Streptophyta; Magnoliopsida; Malpighiales; Euphorbiaceae. The record is from RNAcentral.
GCAACAUUGCACAGGGCAUGCAAUGACUCCAAACAGGAAUUCUAAUCUGACUUUUUUUCUUUCUCACUUGAUCCGGGAGGAUUUCUAAGGCUUUUAGAAGUCUAAAAUAAAGGUUUUUACACCAAAUAUAAAUAUAAUAAAGUCAGGAUUUGAGAGGGAUGAACCUAAUUUACAUUCAAGAGAGCCUAUCACCUUAACGAGAGGCAAGAGGAGAAACGGAUUUCCAAGAUUUUCACAGGAAGUUCCAGCUGAAGUCUGGGUUCUUUCAUUCUAUUUUUUCUCAUGUAUUUCUCUUUUAUUUUAUAUACUUGAUUAUAAAAGUCACCAUAUGUAGCUAGUUUUCUUAUUCUAGGGUUAGGAAUGUAGCACUUUCAAUUCAAUUAUGGAUUUAGUUUGAUUUUAUU